Molecule: ribosomal RNA, 251 nt
Filed under: uncultured prokaryote
Description: partial 16S rRNA
Rfam family: Bacterial small subunit ribosomal RNA
Source: RNAcentral
ACGGAGGGUGCAAGCGUUAUUCGGAAUUACUGGGCGUAAAGCGCGUGUAGGCGGUCCUGCAAGUCUGAUGUGAAAGCCCCGGGCUUAACCCGGGAAGUGCAUUGGAAACUGUGGGACUUGAGUACUGGAGAGGAUGGGGGAAUUCCCGGUGUGGACGCGAUAGGCGGGGAGGUGGGGAGGAGACGCGGAGGCGUAGGAACACAUCUGGAUGGUAAGCGGUGCUGGUACGUGUGAAUGUUGGGAGGAAGGGG